UAUGAAAAUUUUUCAAAUUGAAUCAUAAUACAUAAUAAAAAAAAUUUCCUCUCUUAUUCCUGUUUCGAAAGAACACGAAAUCCAACUAAUAAGAGAUAAUCAGAAAUGUAUUCCAACGGAAUUCUUUCGAAAUUCGAAUAAAAAAAAUCGAUAGUAUGGUAAAAAGAACUAUAUAGUUCUUUCUACCGUACUGUCAGAUCUUAUUCACUAGAUACUAGUUAGUCUAAUUUGUUCAUUUCAUCUAAGACACGCAAUUGGAAUUUUUUUUCAUUUUUUCUUUAAUCGUUCAUAUUGAUGAGAACUAAGAA
Molecule: long non-coding RNA, 308 nt
Filed under: Linum usitatissimum (flax)
Lineage: Eukaryota; Viridiplantae; Streptophyta; Magnoliopsida; Malpighiales; Linaceae
Description: long non-coding RNA (LUSI_LNC005906)
Source: RNAcentral